This is an RNA transcript of Bombyx mori (domestic silkworm), 3014 nucleotides long. RefSeq lists it as uncharacterized. The record is from RefSeq and is a predicted model, not a curated record. The transcript is spliced from 2 exons. NCBI's taxonomy places the organism in Eukaryota, Metazoa, Arthropoda, Insecta, Lepidoptera, Bombycidae.
AUGUUAAAAACUGAGUAUGACACUGAAAUGAGAAAGAUGUUGAAUGACAAGGUGACAUAUAAAUUACUGAAAAAGGAUCCUACAAAUAAAUGGCAAAAAGUUGCAAACAGUUUAGUGAACAAGUUAGUAGUAGCAAAAAUUGUUGAGGAACAACAAGGUAAACAUCUGAAAGCAAAGUAUACUGUUGCACCCAGGAUUUAUGGUUUGAGGAAAACACAUAAGGAGACUUGUUGUUUGCGUCCAGUGGUCAGUUGUGUUAAUUCCCCGAGUUACAGCCUGGCACGGUUCCUACAUGAAAUACUGACUCCAGUGAUUGAGAAGUUUCAAUAUAAUGUAAAAAAUUCAUUUGACUUCGUGACAUUUAGUAGAAAGGUUAGCUUACCGAAGAAUUAUGUACUGAUUUCAUUGGAUGUAGUGUCAUUGUUCACGAAUGUACGUCGUGACUUGAUUCUUAAAGUAAUUGAGGAAACUUGGGAUAACAUGAAGCAUUUAGUAAAAAUUCCUAAGAGUGUGUUAGUUGACCUCAUUACGUUUUGUUAUGAUUCAAGUUACUUUGUAUAUCAAGGAGAGUUCUAUGCACAAACGGAAGGCAGCAGUAUGGGAAACCCUGCAAGUCCAGUCAUAGCUAACAUCGUUAUGAACUAUGUCAUCGAUCAGAUAUUGAAGAUUCUACCGUUUGAAAUUCACUUCUUAAAGUUAUACGUGGAUGAUACUAUCGCAGCCAUACCGGAGUCGGAAGUAAAUAAUAUCUUAGAGUUAUUUAAUAGCUUUGACAAUAAUAUACAAUUUACCAUGGAAGUAGAAAAGGAUGAUAGUUUAUCUUUUCUAGAUGUGUUAGUCAAAAGAUCAAAUGAUAAAUUGAUAACUGAUUGGUUUGUCAAACCCAUUAGUUCAGGUCGGCUAUUAAAUUGGAAUUCAAAUCAUCCUCGGUCUCAGAAGAUAGGUAUGAUAAAAGGUUUACUUGAUAGAAUGACAAAGUUAAGUAGUAGUGAUUUUUAUGAAAUUAAUUUUGGUAAGAUUCGUAACAUAUUGUUGAAUAAUAAUUAUGAAAUACCAUUAGUAGACAGUGUUAUAAAUAAAUUUAAAGAGAACUUAAAUAAUAAACCAAGGAGUUUGGUCAACUCAAAUAAUAAUAACAUUAGAUAUUGUCGGUUUCCUUAUAUAGCAGAAUUAUCACAUAAAUUAAACAGAGUUUUUAUAGGAACUCAUGUAAGAUUAGCAUUUUAUAACAUCUUGAGAGUUAAUUCAAUCUAUUCUAAGUUAAAAGAUCCAGUAAAUAAACAACAACAAACUGGAAUAGUGUAUAAAAUACCUUGUUCGUGUGACUUAUGCUAUGUUGGACAAACUAGGCAGUAUUUGAGUAAUAGAGUAAAACAACACAUUUAUGAUUGUAAAAAUAUUAAUAUAUUAAAAGAGAAUAAAACAGCAUUAGCAACCCACCACUUUGACCAACAUCAUAAUUUUAAGUUUGAUAAGAUAGAAAUCUUGGAUAAAGAAAUGAAUUGGUGGAAACGUAAUGUUAGUGAAAUGAUCUUUAUAAAAACUAAUGAUACUGUGAACAAACGAACAGACACUAACAAUUUAAGUAUUUUAUAUAAUGAUAUAUUAAAAGAGUAUAAAUCUAAUAGAAAAAAAUAACCUUCAUUUCAGAUAUAUUUGAAUUUGAUACUUAGCGAGGUUUGCGCUAGUAUAAAAUAUUGUAAAGUAUAGUCUAUGUACUGAAGUUUCAAUAGUGGGCUAACCUUUGUCACGCAAUUAGCAAUUUUAUGUGUCGUGUUGGCUUUGUUUCCGGAAUCAAAAAAUAGUAAUUAAAUAAUUUAGUGGCUUUGUAGAUUUGUAUUAGUCUCUGAUGUCUGAGACAAUUGUGCAGUGUAUGAUAGAGAUUAUUUAAAUUCAUAUUAUGAUGCCUGAUGAAGGUCUAAUAAAAGACCGAAACGUUGCUAAAAUAAUAAUGUAAUUUGUUAUAAUAGUCCUAUCUUGUCCACAUUCCUGAGAUACACGAAAAAGAUAUUAUUAUUUGAGUAUAUAAUUACUAGUGUGAGUCCGCAAGAGUAGGUACCAGCAAUCCCCCCCCACCCCUCGAUUUGUAUGGAUUAUCCUGCGUUAAAAAAAAGCAAAAAGGUACCACCACUCUGCCUCUUUCUGUCGUGAAGCAAUAACACGUUUCGGUUGAAGGGUAGGGCAGUUGUUGUACUGUAAAAACUCAUGCCUCAAGGUGGGCGGCGGCAUUUACGUUGAUGAUGUCAACGGGUACCGCUAGUCAUUUAACAGCUGGUUGGUCGUGAACGCGUUCACUCUAAGCAAUAAGAAAUAUACUUAUAAAAUUACACAUGCUCAGCUAAUUAGACCCAUUCGUAAAUAUAUACAUAUAAAAUUACACAUAAUAUUCAGAUAAUUAUAUUAGACCUAUUUAUUCGUUUUAAUUGUUUAUUAGGAAAAGGAAAUGAUUAAACUCACAGCGGAUGUGUUGCUGCCCUGCGAAUUAGAAUUCUUGGUCAUCGCAAAAUGGCAAUUUAUUUGUGGCAACGAAAAACGACAAUGAUUGUGAUGGAACACUUUGCACGGUACAGAUUGAAAACGAGACAAAACUAGCUUGCCGUUUCACAAUUCACUGUCAUUCGCCGCCAUAAUUUGUUGUCUGACUGAAAGGAAUUUACGUAAUUCCCCGAACAAAAUAUACGUUUGCGCGUUCCGUUUAUGUUUUUAAUAUAUCACUAUGCGCAUACCUAAUUUUAUUUCUUGAAAACAAUAAGUUUCGUAUGUGGCAAAUAAAAAUCUAAAACAAAGUGAAAUAGAUAAUUGACAUGUUGAUGAAAUGACAUGUAAAAACGUAUUCUUGUAUUUUGAAAAAUUAUAUUGAAAUAAUUAUUUUCUUCGUAUAAAGAAACUUCCGUUCAAUCGGAUGGGGAUUAUCUGUGAACUAUCUCGAGAAAAACCAGAUUCAAAUGAAUGUUCAAGGCUACUGCGUAAAACUACUAUUUACACUUAUUUUAUAUAUUAUAUCAUAAAUCUGA